This 468-nucleotide ribosomal RNA is filed under the name uncultured bacterium. Its description in RNAcentral is "partial 16S ribosomal RNA". It matches the Rfam family "Bacterial small subunit ribosomal RNA", at positions 28 to 507 of the family's 1533-position model. The record is from RNAcentral.
GACGAACGCUGGCGGCGUGCUUAACACAUGCAAGUCGAACGGAAAGGCCCUGCUUUUGUGGGGUGCUCGAGUGGCGAACGGGUGAGUAACACGUGAGUAACCUGCCCUUGACUUUGGGAUAACUUCAGGAAACAGGGGCUAAUACCGGAUAGGAGCUCCUGCUGCAUGGUGGGGGUUGGAAAGUUUCGGCGGUUGGGGAUGGACUCGCGGCUUAUCAGCUUGUUGGUGGGGUAGUGGCUUACCAAGGCUUUGACGGGUAGCCGGCCUGAGAGGGUGACCGGCCACAUUGGGACUGAGAUACGGCCAAGACUCCUUCGGGAGGCAGCAGUGGGGAAUAUUGCACAAUGGGCGGAAGCCUGAUGCAGCAACGCCGCGUGCGGGAUGACGGCCUUCGGGUUGUAAACCGCUUUCGCCUGUGACGAAGCGUGAGUGACGGUAAUGGGUAAAGAAGCACCGGCUAACUACGUG